Molecule: ribosomal RNA, 299 nt
Filed under: Escherichia coli
Lineage: Bacteria; Pseudomonadati; Pseudomonadota; Gammaproteobacteria; Enterobacterales; Enterobacteriaceae
Description: partial 23S ribosomal RNA
Rfam family: Bacterial large subunit ribosomal RNA
Source: RNAcentral
GCCCCGGUAAACGGCGGCCGUAACUAUAACGGUCCUAAGGUAGCGAAAUUCCUUGUCGGGUAAGUUCCGACCUGCACGAAUGGCGUAAUGAUGGCCAGGCUGUCUCCACCCGAGACUCAGUGAAAUUGAACUCGCUGUGAAGAUGCAGUGUACCCGCGGCAAGACGGAAAGACCCCGUGAACCUUUACUAUAGCUUGACACUGAACAUUGAGCCUUGAUGUGUAGGAUAGGUGGGAGGCUUUGAAGUGUGGACGCCAGUCUGCAUGGAGCCGACCUUGAAAUACCACCCUUUAAUGUUU